RNAcentral lists this ribosomal RNA (511 nucleotides) under uncultured bacterium. RNAcentral's name for it is "bacterial SSU rRNA". It matches the Rfam family "Bacterial small subunit ribosomal RNA", at positions 28 to 497 of the family's 1533-position model. The record is from RNAcentral.
GACGAACGCUGGCGGCGUGCCUAAUACAUGCAAGUCGAACGCACUCUCGUUUAGAUUGAAGGAGCUUGCUCCUGAUUGAUAAACAUUUGAGUGAGUGGCGGACGGGUGAGUAACACGUGGGUAACCUGCCCUAAAGUGGGGGAUAACAUUUGGAAACAGAUGCUAAUACCGCAUAAAACCUAAACACCGCAUGGUGUAGGGUUGAAAGAUGGUUUCGGCUAUCACUUUAGGAUGGACCCGCGGUGCAUUAGUUAGUUGGUGAGGUAAAGGCUCACCAAGACCGUGAUGCAUAGCCGACCUGAGAGGGUAAUCGGCCACACUGGGACUGAGACACGGCCCAGACUCCUACGGGAGGCAGCAGUAGGGAAUCUUCCACAAUGGACGAAAGUCUGAUGGAGCAACGCCGCGUGAGUGAAGAAGGUUUCGGAUCGUAAAACUCUAGUUGUUGGAGAAGAAUGUAUCUGAUAGUAACUGAUCAGGUAGUGACGGUAUCCAACCAGAAAGCCAACGG